Molecule: ribosomal RNA, 497 nt
Filed under: uncultured bacterium
Lineage: Bacteria
Description: bacterial SSU rRNA
Rfam family: Bacterial small subunit ribosomal RNA
Source: RNAcentral
AUCCUGGCUCAGAUUGAACGCUGGCGGCAUGCCUUACACAUGCAAGUCGAACGGCAGCACGGGAGCUUGCUCCUGGUGGCGAGUGGCGAACGGGUGAGUAAUACAUCGGAACGUACCCUGAAGUGGGGAUAACGUAGCGAAAGUUACGCUAAUACCGCAUAUUCUGUGAGCAGGAAAGAGGGGGAUCGCAAGACCUCUUGCUUUAGGAGCGGCCGAUGUCGGAUUAGCUAGUUGGUGAGGUAAAGGCUCACCAAGGCGACGAUCCGUAGCGGGUCUGAGAGGAUGAUCCGCCACACUGGGACUGAGACACGGCCCAGACUCCUACGGGAGGCAGCAGUGGGGAAUUUUGGACAAUGGGCGCAAGCCUGAUCCAGCCAUGCCGCGUGAGUGAAGAAGGCCUUCGGGUUGUAAAGCUCUUUCGGUGGGGAAGAAAUUGCUUCGGUUAAUACCUGGAGUAGAUGACGGUACCCGCAUAAGAAGCACCGGCUAACUACGUG